GACCGCGACCCCAGGUCAGGCAGGACUACCCGCUGAGAA
RNAcentral lists this ribosomal RNA (39 nucleotides) under Veronica ceratocarpa. RNAcentral's name for it is "partial 26S ribosomal RNA". Lineage: Eukaryota; Viridiplantae; Streptophyta; Magnoliopsida; Lamiales; Plantaginaceae. The record is from RNAcentral.